GUGCUUGCUUUGGCUGCACAUAUACUAAAGUUGGAACAAUACAGAAAAGAUUAGCAUGGCCCCUGAGCAAGGAUGACACACAAGUUUGCGAAGUGUUCCAUAAAAAA
This is a small nuclear RNA of Perognathus longimembris pacificus (Pacific pocket mouse), 107 nucleotides long. NCBI's taxonomy places the organism in Eukaryota, Metazoa, Chordata, Mammalia, Rodentia, Heteromyidae. The record is from RefSeq and is a predicted model, not a curated record.